GGAGUUAUAAGCAGCGGCAAGCAGAGAGCUCUCCACCUGUUAUCUCUGCGAGACAGCGAAGCAAUAGAAAACUGUAAGCACUUCAGAAAAGGACCCUUCUCCUGUAUCAAUUUGCUUUUUCAGACCCAACAUGAUCAGUUUAAAGUCAUUUUACAGGGAUUUGACCUGCAUUCAAAAUGAAGAUUUUAAAACAUUUAAAAAAAAA
This is a long non-coding RNA of Bombina bombina (fire-bellied toad), 205 nucleotides long. RefSeq lists it as uncharacterized. The transcript has 3 exons. The record is from RefSeq and is a predicted model, not a curated record. NCBI's taxonomy places the organism in Eukaryota, Metazoa, Chordata, Amphibia, Anura, Bombinatoridae.